CUGGCUCAGGAUGAACGCUGGCGGCGUGCCUAAUACAUGCAAGUCGAACGGAGCACUUCGGUGCUUAGUGGCGAACGGGUGAGUAAUAUAUGAACAACCUACCCCCUUGACCGGGAUAACACACUGAAAAGCGUGCUAAUACCGGAUAGGCGAUCGAGAGGCAUCUCUUGAUUAUUAAAGGAGCGCAUGCUCCACAUUGGGAUGGGUUCAUAUCGCAUUAGCUAGUUGGUGAGGUAACGGCCCACCAAGGCGAUGAUGCGUAGCCGAUCUGAGAGGAUGACCGGCCACAUUGGGACUGAGACACGGCCCAGACUCCUACGGGAGGCAGCAGUAGGGAAUUUUCGGCAAUGGGCGCAAGCCUGACCGAGCAACGCCGCGUGAACGAUGAAAGGUCUUAUGGAUUGUAAAGUUCUGUUACGAGGGAAGAACAGCACUGAUAGGAAAUGAUCAGUGUGUGACGGUACCUCGCCAGAAAGCCACGGCUAACUACGUGCCAGCCGCCGC
This 504-nucleotide ribosomal RNA is filed under the name uncultured bacterium. Its description in RNAcentral is "bacterial SSU rRNA". It matches the Rfam family "Bacterial small subunit ribosomal RNA", at positions 19 to 518 of the family's 1533-position model. The record is from RNAcentral.